UAUUGGUCAAUGGCCUAACGGCUGAACCAGCAAUUUGGGGGAAUGUAGGUAUAUAUCUUAUGAUGCAUAUAUACAAAUCGACUACGUCGUAUAAAGUUCUAAAUAGAUAAUUGAUUGUGACAGAUUUCUAUUUAUGUGGCUCGACCAAUUCUUGUGCCAGCAGUCGCGGCAACACAAGUGAGACUAGUGUUAUUCAUCUUUAUUAGGUUUAAAGGGUACCUAGACGGUUUUUUUAACCUGAAAAAUGUACAAAAAAACUAGAGUUUUAUAUGAGAGGUAAAUAUUAGGACUAUUGGUGUAGAGAUGAAAUUUUUUGAUACUAAUUGGACGUAUAAUGGCGAAGGCGAUCCUCUAUUUAUAAACUGACGUUAAGGGACGAAGGCUUGGGGAGCGAAUAGGAUUAGAUACCCUAGUAGUCCAGGCAGAAAAUUAUGAAUGUUAUAGAUUAAGUAUAUAAUUAGUGUAUAAAUGAAAGUGUAAGCAUUCCACCUCAAGAGUAAUGUGGCAACGCAGGAACUGAAAUCAUUAGACCGUUUGUGAAACCAGUAGUGAAGUAUGUUAUUUA
RNAcentral lists this ribosomal RNA (565 nucleotides) under Pseudocercospora musae. RNAcentral's name for it is "SSU rRNA". It matches the Rfam family "Bacterial small subunit ribosomal RNA", at positions 362 to 948 of the family's 1533-position model. The record is from RNAcentral. Lineage: Eukaryota; Fungi; Ascomycota; Dothideomycetes; Mycosphaerellales; Mycosphaerellaceae.